UACGUAGGUGGCAAGCGUUGUCCGGAUUUAUUGGGUUUAAAGAGCUCGUAGGCGGCUUGUCGCGUCGUCCGUGAAAACCUGUGGCUCAACUGCAGGCUUGCGGUCGAUACGGGCAGGCUGGAGUUCGGUAGGGGAGACUGGAAUUCCUGGUGUAGCGGUGAAAUGCGCAGAUAUCAGGAGGAACACCGGUGGCGAGGGCGGGUCUCUGGGCCGAUACUGACGCUGAGGAGCGAAAGCGUGGGGAGCGAACAGG
This 253-nucleotide ribosomal RNA is filed under the name uncultured bacterium. RNAcentral's name for it is "partial 16S ribosomal RNA". It matches the Rfam family "Bacterial small subunit ribosomal RNA", at positions 524 to 776 of the family's 1533-position model. The record is from RNAcentral.